UCCAGGNGUAGCGGUGAAAANGNGUAGAGAUCUGGAGGAAUNNUCGGUGGCGAAGGCGGCCCCCUGGACAAANNACUGACGCUCAGAUGCGAAAGCGUGGGUAGCAANCAGGAUUAGAUACCCUGGUAGUCCACGCCGUAAACGAUGUCUACUUGAAGGUUGGGAUCUUGAAUUCUGGCCUUCGGAGCUAACGCGUUAAGUAGACCGCCUGGGGAGUACGGUCGCAAGAUUAAAACUCAAAUGAACGGGGGCCCGCACAAGCGGUGGAGCAUGUGGUUUAAUUCGAUGCAACGCNAAGAACCUUACCUACUCUUGACAUCCAGAGAAGCCAGCAGAGAUGCAGGUGUGCCUUCGGGAACUCUGAGACAGGUGCUGCAUGGCUGUCGUCAGCUCGUGUUGUGAAAUGUUGGGUUAAGUCCCGCAACGAGCGCAACCCUUAUCCUUGUUUGCCAGCACGUAAUGGUGGGAACUCCAGGGAGACUGCCGGUGAUAAACCGGAGGAAGGUGGGGACGACGUCAAGUCAUCAUGGCCCUUACGAGUAGGGCUACACACGUGNUCAAUGGUGCAUACAGAGGGAAGCAAGAGCGCGAGCUGGAGCGGAUCCCAAAAAGUGCAUCGUAGUCCGGAGG
RNAcentral lists this ribosomal RNA (630 nucleotides) under uncultured Photobacterium sp. Its description in RNAcentral is "bacterial SSU rRNA". It matches the Rfam family "Bacterial small subunit ribosomal RNA", at positions 668 to 1299 of the family's 1533-position model. The record is from RNAcentral. Lineage: Bacteria; Pseudomonadati; Pseudomonadota; Gammaproteobacteria; Vibrionales; Vibrionaceae.